RNAcentral lists this ribosomal RNA (252 nucleotides) under uncultured bacterium. RNAcentral's name for it is "partial 16S ribosomal RNA". It matches the Rfam family "Bacterial small subunit ribosomal RNA", at positions 524 to 776 of the family's 1533-position model. The record is from RNAcentral.
UACAGAGGUCCCGAGCGUUGUUCGGAUUCACUGGGCGUAAAGGGUGCGUAGGUGGUUGUGCAAGUCUGAUGUGAAAUCUCCGGGCUUAACCCGGAAAUGGCAUUGGAAACUGCAUGGCUAGAGGUCGGAGGGGGAACUGGAAUGCUCGGUGUAGCAGUGAAAUGCGUAGAGAUCGAGCGGAACACCAGUGGCGAAGGCGAGUUCCUGGACAAGACCUGACGCUGAGGCACGAAAGCCAGGGGAGCAAACAGG